Molecule: ribosomal RNA, 253 nt
Filed under: uncultured bacterium
Lineage: Bacteria
Description: partial 16S ribosomal RNA
Rfam family: Bacterial small subunit ribosomal RNA
Source: RNAcentral
UACGGAGGGUGCGAGCGUUAAUCGGAAUUACUGGGCGUAAAGCGUGCGCAGGCGGCGGCUCAAGUCAGGGGUGAAAUCCCCGGGCUUAACCUGGGAAUUGCGCUUGAAACUAGGUUGCUAGAGUGUGGCAGAGGGGGGUGGAAUUCCACGUGUAGCAGUGAAAUGCGUAGAGAUGUGGAGGAACACCGAUGGCGAAGGCAGCCCCCUGGGUCAACACUGACGCUCAUGCACGAAAGCGUGGGGAGCAAACAGG